AUGCCCAACCGCAGCCUCGACAUCCAUCUCCAUGGCAAGCAGGGCACCUUCCUCACAUGGCCGAUGAGGAUGAGGAUAGUGAUGGAGCUCGGGUCCGUGCUGCUCUACCUCCACGAGGAGUGGGAGCAGUGCGUGCUGCACCGGAACAUCAAGCCCAGCAACAUGAUGCUAGACGAGUCAUUUGGAGCUAAGCUGGGCGACUUCGGGCUCGCAAGGCUUGUCGACCAUGCCACCGGGACGCAGACUAUGACCGCAGUCUCAGGGACUCCGGGCUACUUGGACCCCCAGUGUGUCGUCACCGGCAGGGCCAGCGCUGAGUCAGACGUGUACAGCUUCGGCGUGGUUCUGCUGGAGGUGGUGUGCGGCAGGAAGCCGAUGAGCUUCACUGCGACCGAUCAGGACCAGCAACAAAAGAACGGUGGCGUGUUCCGGCUGGUUGAGUGGGUUUGGGGGCUGUACGGCCGGGGAUCUAUUCUUGAGUCCGCCGACAAGCUGCUGAAUGGUGACUUAGACGCAGCACAGGUGGAGAGGGUGCUGGUCGUCGGGCUGUGGUGUGCACACCCGGACCCGAGCGCGCGGCCAACCAUCAGAGAAGCCAUGGCCAAGCUCCACUCCAAGGUCGACAAGCUGCCAGUGCUCCCCUCCAAGAUGCCGGUGCCGACAUAUGCUCAGCCACCGUCCGCCUUGGACGUGGAUGAUGGGCUGUCAACGUUGCUGCCAUCGUCCACCAGCACCAGCGUCCCACCGCACACCACUUGUACAACAACCAGUUCUUCAGACGGACAUGGUAGCACCUCGACGACCAGUUAA
RNAcentral lists this ribosomal RNA (810 nucleotides) under Triticum aestivum (bread wheat). RNAcentral's name for it is "partial small subunit ribosomal RNA". Lineage: Eukaryota; Viridiplantae; Streptophyta; Magnoliopsida; Poales; Poaceae. The record is from RNAcentral.